This 72-nucleotide transfer RNA is filed under the name Vermiviatum covidum. Its description in RNAcentral is "tRNA-Glu". The record is from RNAcentral. Lineage: Eukaryota; Metazoa; Platyhelminthes; Tricladida; Geoplanidae.
AUAAAUUUGGUGUAAGCAAGCAUAAAAAAUUUUCUUUUUUAAGGAAACUUUAUUAAUAUAAGUUAAUUUAUU